This 253-nucleotide ribosomal RNA is filed under the name uncultured bacterium. RNAcentral's name for it is "partial 16S ribosomal RNA". It matches the Rfam family "Bacterial small subunit ribosomal RNA", at positions 524 to 776 of the family's 1533-position model. The record is from RNAcentral.
UACAGAGGUCUCGAGCGUUAGGCGGAAUCACUGGGCUUAAAGCGUGUGUAGGCGGAUCGUUAAGUGCCUUGUGAAAUCCCUCGGCUUAACCGAGGAACUGCCCUCCAAACUGCUUUGCUUGAGGCCGGGAGAGGCGAGUGGAAUUCCCAGUGUAGCAGUGAAAUGCGUAGAUAUUGGGAGGAACACCAGUGGCGAAGGCGGCUCGCUGGACCGGUUCUGACGCUGAGGCGCGAAAGCGUGGGGAGCAAACGGG